GCUUAUGUAGUUUAUUUAAAACACUAUAUUUUCAUUAUAGAAAUAAAAUUUAUUUUCUUAAGUUAAAUU
Molecule: transfer RNA, 69 nt
Filed under: Anabolia bimaculata
Lineage: Eukaryota; Metazoa; Arthropoda; Insecta; Trichoptera; Limnephilidae
Description: tRNA-Glu
Source: RNAcentral